RNAcentral lists this ribosomal RNA (253 nucleotides) under uncultured bacterium. RNAcentral's name for it is "partial 16S ribosomal RNA". It matches the Rfam family "Bacterial small subunit ribosomal RNA", at positions 524 to 776 of the family's 1533-position model. The record is from RNAcentral.
GACGUAGGGCGCAAGCGUUGUCCGGAUUUAUUGGGCGUAAAGAGCUCGUAGGCGGCUUGUUGCGUCGACCGUGAAAACCCGUGGCUCAACUGCGGGCUUGCGGUCGAUACGGGCGGGCUAGAGUUCGGUAGGGGAGACUGGAAUUCCUGGUGUAGCGGUGAAAUGCGCAGAUAUCAGGAGGAACACCGGUGGUGAAGGCGGGUCUCUGGGCCGAUACUGACGCUGAGGAGCGAAAGCGUGGGGAGCGAACAGG